This 255-nucleotide ribosomal RNA is filed under the name uncultured bacterium. RNAcentral describes it as "partial 16S ribosomal RNA". It matches the Rfam family "Bacterial small subunit ribosomal RNA", at positions 524 to 777 of the family's 1533-position model. The record is from RNAcentral.
UACGUAGGUGGCAAGCGUUGUCCGGAAUUAUUGGGCGUAAGCGCGCGCAGGCGGUCCUUUAAGUCUGAUGUGAAAGCCCACGGCUCAACCGUGGAAGGUCAUUGGAAACUGGGGGGACUUGAGUGCAGAAGAGGAAAGUGGAAUUCCAAGUGUAGCGGUGAAAUGCGUAGAGAUUUGGAGGAACACCAGUGGCGAAGGCGACUUUCUGGUCUGUAACUGACGCUGAGGCGCGGAAAGCGUGGGGAGCAAACAGGG